UCUCAGUCUUGGGGAGACGUGGCUGUAAAGAGACUGCUGUUGGGGAGGUCUCUGUGCCUGAGCAUCUCCAGUCUUUUUCCCCUCUCGGUGAUCAGUGAUGGUUGAGUCCAGCUCCUUCUGCUGCUAAGCACUCCAGUCUGUCUGCUUUGCUCUCGCUCCCUCUCUCCCCCUCUCUCACUCCCUCUCUCUCUGGUCCCCAGCCACAGCCAGUCCUCCUUCCAGCUCCUUGGAUAAGCUCGCCGCUCUCUUACCCUGUCGCUGUCCGUUCAGCACCACCUCGCUCACUCGCUGCCUUUCACCCUUAGGAUCUAGAAAGGCAUUCUCUACAAUCUUGCAGAUCUACCAGUCCUGAUCCCUGCAGUGGCUUCAGGCUGUGCAUGAUGACAUGAGAGCCAACAGCGAUUAUCGCCAAGUGCAAGCGGCGUCAGACCUGUUUUUGGAACCUGGAGCACUACCAUAUAUUCUGGCUAUUCUGCGCUCCCGUGGCUUGCAUUAGUGAGAUUUACAGAAGACGG
Molecule: non-coding RNA, 515 nt
Organism: Pelobates cultripes (western spadefoot toad)
Lineage: Eukaryota; Metazoa; Chordata; Amphibia; Anura; Pelobatidae
Source: the annotation of a GenBank genome assembly